This 85-nucleotide small RNA is filed under the name Flavobacterium crassostreae. RNAcentral's name for it is "Flavo-1 RNA". It matches the Rfam family "Flavo-1 RNA". The record is from Rfam by way of RNAcentral. Lineage: Bacteria; Pseudomonadati; Bacteroidota; Flavobacteriia; Flavobacteriales; Flavobacteriaceae.
GUCUAACGGUGGCAUGAAGGAUGGAAGCGGCAUCCUUUUAUGUAAUGCAAUGGAAUAAAAGAUAUAGCGGACAGCCUGACCACGC